UUGUAACAGCCAUUCCCCACCGAAAGCGCCAAAUAGGGAUUCCCCCAAUUCUCAUUUUCUUUUCCGUUUUCUGCCCCUCAUCCUCUCCGAUUUUUCCUUCCAUCGAUUUCUGCUUCUUCUUCUGGUACGUUUCUUUUCUUCUUACGUUUCUUUUCUUUUCUCCAUUUUAUCAACAACGAAAAAUGCUCGCACUCUUUCCUGUUUUUCUUUUCUGUAAAAUUGAUUUAGUUUUGCUUUUGCCAAAAUCUGGAAUAUUUGUUUUUGUUCUCCUAAUUUUGAUUCGUUUCUAGCAUUUUCCAUUCGACUUUUCUUUGUAUUGCAUGUUCGAUUGAACAAAUGAAAUUUUUUUCAAUGUGGUUCUAUUAUUUGCUUAUUCUAUUGCAUGUUUGUCUGAUUCUAUUGUUUUCCGAAUGGCUUGUGAUUUCGACUAGCUGAGUUCUGUUUAUUUGCAUUUCUUGAAAUUUGUUGGAGUUCAUGUAUUGGUUUCUGUUAAUUUAAAAUUUGUUUGCACAAAAGAUGAAGGCUUUAUGCUGAGACAUGUUAACUAUGUUUUCUGUUAAUUUAAAAUUUGUUUUCUGUCAAUUUUAGUUUUAAAAUGAUUUCUUGCAAUAAAUGAGGAUUGAUAACCAUAGUAUCUGAAAGUUGUAUGUGUGCUUGAGUCCAUUUUGAGGAAAAAGGAAGAUGAGCAUUUCUUAGUUGUGGCUUCUUACUUUACCGAGAACAAAUAAGUUGUUUUGAGAUGUUCUGAGUCUCCUCAAGCUUCCCUCAGAGAAAAGGCUAACAAGGUAUUAGUCAUUUUGAAUGGGGAACAACCUGGUGGUUUGGCAAGUACUUUAGAAAAGUUUUUGAAAGCUGAGACCACACUUGUUCAAAUACCUGACCUGAUCGACACUGGUGAUCCAGAUGAUUACAAUGGACUAGAUAGUUCCACAAAAGAUCAAAAUGAUCAAAAUACUACAGUACGGACAGCAACACCUCUUAUUGAUGACUUACUUGGAGAUGGUAUUGGUACUAAUCUCAGCACCAGUGAACUUGAUGCGGUCGUUGAAAGCACCCCAAAUAUCCUAUCCCUAAUAAAUAAUGAAAAAGAAUAGUAAAAGGGAAGUAGGGUCAAAUCCUCAGGGACUGGACUUGCAAAAUAUCUUGUUCCGUGAAAUCCCAGGCAGAAUCUUGCCCAAGAAAACUUGGGUUCCUGAAAAAAAAAUAACAAAAUUAAACGUUUGGAUUUGAAAACAAAAAAUAAAAUAAAAACAAAUUUAAGAAUAUUGAAUCGAAAAUUAGAGAAAUUAAAAAUAGAGUUGAGAGAAAGGAAAUUCUUAUGGGAGAUUCCAGCCUCCAGUUGUCUCGUUCCACCUUGGGUUCAAUCCUCGGCUUUUAGAUGAUCCUUCCCAACUUGAAUAAGCCAGUUAUAGUGGAAGAGGACGCCUACGACCACCAGCUACAAGGAUUUAGACUUACGAUUUGGUAGAACCUGACUCUAGCCAACAAUCGCUUCUGUGGGAUCGUCUUAUGCUAGAUCAACACUUCUUAAUGGCGAAUCCCACGCCAUUUUGUCUCUUGGGCUCACCAACCUCUGACGCAGUAAGCUAACAAACCGACUGUGCAACCUUCCCAAAACAUACAAAGCGGCCGCCUUUGCAUACGUUGAAAAGCUUACUUCUUAAGGGACAUGGAUGGAAGUGUCAGCCCCGUAGUGCGGAGAAACGAUGAAUACUCGUUGAGAUGGCUAAAUGUCUCAUUUCACACUAUUAAGGGAAGAAAAAAUGUGGAUGAUCUCUUCUAUGGGAUGAGUGUAGAUGACAAGUCAGCUAUGAGUGAUAAUUGUAUGAAGUGCACGCCCAUUUUUUGCAUGGAACACUUUUAAUUUAAUGAACAAUGAGACAAGGAACAUGAACGGCCGUUUAUGUUAAUUUGUGGUUUGCCAUUUUUAGAGACCAUGUGGGUUGGCGGGGUGCACUAACUCCUUUUAUCAAUUUCGUCUUAAGCACGUGUUUCACGUUUUAAGUGAAAGGUUGUGUGUGCUCUUUUUUUUUCGAGCUGGAAGUUUUCCUAUUUAUGGAAGUACUUAGAUCGGUAAAGAAAAAUUAUAUACAGAAGUAGAUUUAAAGAAACAAGAUGCUGCUCAAAUCCAUGUUGGUUGAAAUGCUGUUAUAUCAGGAAUUCCUUCCAUGUUUUUGUUCAUUGUUCACUAUGCUUUUCAUUAGCUUGGCUUAUGGGCUCUUUUAAUUCUAUUAAUAUUUGAAAGAGUUGCUAUGUAGUUUAGAUUUAGCCUUGGUAGUUAGAUAUCUCUAUCUAUUAUCUAAUACUAGAGAGUGGUAAAUAUAAAAAGGGAAAGUUCCAUAUUUUUUGGCUUGGAUGCUUAUUAUGGUUCGGAAUUCUUGUGUUGAUGUUUGGCUGCCAUAUUCUUCCAGUGCAAGAAGAUCAUUGGGGUUAAACAUGGUGGAAUAUUAGGUUUCUUGUUGAUUGUUUUGCCACUUUUAGAGACAUUCUGUUAGAUUGCCUAAUUUCCAGUUCA
Gossypium raimondii (Peruvian cotton) is the source of this 2515-nucleotide long non-coding RNA. RefSeq lists it as uncharacterized. The transcript has 3 exons. Lineage: Eukaryota; Viridiplantae; Streptophyta; Magnoliopsida; Malvales; Malvaceae. The record is from RefSeq and is a predicted model, not a curated record.